AUUGAACGCUGGCGGCAUGCCUUACACAUGCAAGUCGAACGGCAGCACGGGAGCAAUCCUGGUGGCGAGUGGCGAACGGGUGAGUAAUAUAUCGGAACGUGCCCAGUCGUGGGGAUAACGUAGCGAAAGCUACGCUAAUACCGCAUACGAUCUAUGGAUGAAAGCGGGGGAUCGCAAGACCUCGCGCGAUUGGAGCGGCCGAUAUCAGAUUAGGUAGUUGGUGAGGUAAAGGCUCACCAAGCCGACGAUCUGUAGCUGGUCUGAGAGGACGACCAGCCACACUGGGACUGAGACACGGACCAGACUCCUACGGAGGCAGCAGUGAGGAAUUUUGGACAAUGGGCGCAAGCCUGAUCCAGCAAUGCCGCGUGCAGGAUGG
RNAcentral lists this ribosomal RNA (379 nucleotides) under uncultured bacterium. Its description in RNAcentral is "bacterial SSU rRNA". It matches the Rfam family "Bacterial small subunit ribosomal RNA", at positions 30 to 411 of the family's 1533-position model. The record is from RNAcentral.